UUGGUGACCAGCGGAGGGAUCAUUACCGAGUUUACAACUCCCAAACCCAAUGUGAACGUUACCAAACUGUUGCCUCGGCGGGAUCUCUGCCCCGGGUGCGUCGCAGCCCCGGACCAAGGCGCCCGCCGGAGGACCAACCAAAACUCUUAUUGUAUACCCCCUCGCGGGUUUUUUACUAUCUGAGCCAUCUCGGCGCCCCUCGUGGGCGUUUCGAAAAUGAAUCAAAACUUUCAACAACGGAUCUCUUGGUUCUGGCAUCGAUGAAGAACGCAGCGAAAUGCGAUAAGUAAUGUGAAUUGCAGAAUUCAGUGAAUCAUCGAAUCUUUGAACGCACAUUGCGCCCGCCAGUAUUCUGGCGGGCAUGCCUGUCCGAGCGUCAUUUCAACCCUCGAACCCCUCCGGGGGGUCGGCGUUGGGGAUCGGCCCUUUACGGGGCCGGCCCCGAAAUACAGUGGCGGUCUCGCCGCAGCCUCUCCUGCGCAGUAGUUUGCACACUCGCAUCGGGAGCGCGGCGCGUCCACAGCCGUUAAACACCCCAAACUUCUGAAAUGUUGACCUCGGAUCAGGUAGGAAUACCCGCUGAACUUAAGCAUAUCAAUAA
Molecule: ribosomal RNA, 601 nt
Filed under: Trichoderma virens
Lineage: Eukaryota; Fungi; Ascomycota; Sordariomycetes; Hypocreales; Hypocreaceae
Description: eukaryotic LSU rRNA
Rfam family: 5.8S ribosomal RNA (bases 226-379)
Source: RNAcentral